GGGUUGUGAGGUUAAGCGACUAAGCGUACACGGUGGAUGCCCUGGCAGUCAGAGGCGAUGAAGGACGUGCUAAUCUGCGAUAAGCGUCGGUAAGGUGAUAUGAACCGUUAUAACCGGCGAUUUCCGAAUGGGGAAACCCAGUGUGAUUCGUCACACUAUCAUUAACUGAAUCCAUAGGUUAAUGAGGCGAACCGGGGGAACUGAAACAUCUAAGUACCCCGAGGAAAAGAAAUCAACCGAGAUUCCCCCAGUAGCGGCGAGCGAACGGGGAGCAGCCCAGAGCCUGAAUCAGUGUGUGUGUUAGUGGAAGCGUCUGGAAAGGCGCGCGAUACAGGGUGACAGCCCCGUACACAAAAAUGCACAUGCUGUGAGCUCGAUGAGUAGGGCGGGACACGUGGUAUCCUGUCUGAAUAUGGGGGGACCAUCCUCCAAGGCUAAAUACUCCUGACUGACCGAUAGUGAACCAGUACCGUGAGGGAAAGGCGAAAAGAACCCCGGCGAGGGGAGUGAAAAAGAACCUGAAACCGUGUACGUACAAGCAGUGGGAGCACGCUUAGGCGUGUGACUGCGUACCUUUUGUAUAAUGGGUCAGCGACUUAUAUUCUGUAGCAAGGUUAACCGAAUAGGGGAGCCGAAGGGAAACCGAGUCUUAACUGGGCGUUAAGUUGCAGGGUAUAGACCCGAAACCCGGUGAUCUAGCCAUGGGCAGGUUGAAGGUUGGGUAACACUAACUGGAGGACCGAACCGACUAAUGUUGAAAAAUUAGCGGAUGACUUGUGGCUGGGGGUGAAAGGCCAAUCAAACCGGGAGAUAGCUGGUUCUCCCCGAAAGCUAUUUAGGUAGCGCCUCGUGAAUUCAUCUCCGGGGGUAGAGCACUGUUUCGGCAAGGGGGUCAUCCCGACUUACCAACCCGAUGCAAACUGCGAAUACCGGAGAAUGUUAUCACGGGAGACACACGGCGGGUGCUAACGUCCGUCGUGAAGAGGGAAACAACCCAGACCGCCAGCUAAGGUCCCAAAGUCAUGGUUAAGUGGGAAACGAUGUGGGAAGGCCCAGACAGCCAGGAUGUUGGCUUAGAAGCAGCCAUCAUUUAAAGAAAGCGUAAUAGCUCACUGGUCGAGUCGGCCUGCGCGGAAGAUGUAACGGGGCUAAACCAUGCACCGAAGCUGCGGCAGCGACACUAUGUGUUGUUGGGUAGGGGAGCGUUCUGUAAGCCUGUGAAGGUGUACUGUGAGGUA
This 1238-nucleotide ribosomal RNA is filed under the name Escherichia coli. RNAcentral describes it as "partial 23S ribosomal RNA". It matches the Rfam family "Bacterial large subunit ribosomal RNA", at positions 1 to 1270 of the family's 2925-position model. The record is from RNAcentral. Lineage: Bacteria; Pseudomonadati; Pseudomonadota; Gammaproteobacteria; Enterobacterales; Enterobacteriaceae.